AAAAGUUUUGUCCUAGCUUUACAAUCAACUUCAGCCUAUCUUACACAUGCAAGCAUCUACAAGCCAGUGAGAAUGCCAAUACACUUUGAGCCGAUAUCAGGCACAACAAGUUAGCCAAUAACAUCUAGCUCAGCCACACCCCCAAGGGUAAACAGCAGUGAUAAACAUUAGUAAAUGAGCACAAGCUCGAACUAGACAUGGCCACAGAGGGUUGGCCAAUCUCGUGCCAGCCGCCGCGGUUAUACGAGAAACCCAAGUUGAUAACAAACGGCGUAAAGUGUGAUAAAGAACAAGUCCACAACAUAAGACUGAAACCCAACUAAACUGUCAUACGUACCAGCAGGUAAUAAAUCCAAUCAUACAAAAGUAGUCUCAACUAAAAGACCUUUCAUCAUCACAACCGCUAAGACACAAACUGGGAUUAGAUACCCCACUAUGCCUAGCCACAAACUGAAAAACUUACAACUAUUUUCCGCCAGAACACUACGAGUUAACACUUAAAAAUCAAAGGACUUGGCGGUGCCCAAAAUCCACCCAGAGGAGCCUGUUCUAUAAUCGAUAAUCCACGCUAAACCUCACCACUCUUUGCUAAAACAGCCUAUAUACCACCGUCUACAGCUCACCCCAUGAGGGGGAAUAAGUGAGCAAAAUGAACCCACUAAAAACGUCAGGUCAAGGUGUAGCACAUAGAGCGGAAAGAAAUGGGCUACAUUUUCUUACAAAGAACAAACGAAAAAGCAAAUGAAAAAUCCUUAGAAGGCGGAUUUGGCAGUAAAAAGAAACAAUCAUAUUCUUUUUAACACAGCCCUUGGGCGCGCACACACCGCCCGUCACCCUCAUCAACUUAAUCACACCAGCUUAAUAAACAUAAACAUCACUAACUAGAAGAGGAAAGUCGUAACACGGUAAGCGUACUGGAAAGUGCUCUUGGAAU
RNAcentral lists this non-coding RNA (934 nucleotides) under Caudacaecilia cf. nigroflava KUHE 34877. RNAcentral describes it as "12S rRNA". It matches the Rfam family "Bacterial small subunit ribosomal RNA". The record is from RNAcentral. Lineage: Eukaryota; Metazoa; Chordata; Amphibia; Gymnophiona; Ichthyophiidae.